AGAGAGGUGGCCGAGUGGCUGAAGGCGCACGCUUGGAAAGCGUGUAUAUGGCAACAUAUCGUGGGUUCGAAUCCCAUCCUCUCUGCAA
RNAcentral lists this transfer RNA (88 nucleotides) under Flavobacterium sp. 140616W15. RNAcentral describes it as "tRNA-Ser". It matches the Rfam family "tRNA". From Rfam's summary of the family: Transfer RNA (tRNA) molecules are approximately 80 nucleotides in length. Their secondary structure includes four short double-helical elements and three loops (D, anti-codon, and T loops). Further hydrogen bonds mediate the characteristic L-shaped molecular structure. tRNAs have two regions of fundamental functional importance: the anti-codon, which is responsible for specific mRNA codon recognition, and the 3' end, to which the tRNAs corresponding amino acid is attached (by aminoacyl-tRNA synthetases). tRNAs cope with the degeneracy of the genetic code in two manners: having more than one tRNA (with a specific anti-codon) for a particular amino acid; and 'wobble' base-pairing, i.e. permitting non-standard base-pairing at the 3rd anti-codon position. Lineage: Bacteria; Pseudomonadati; Bacteroidota; Flavobacteriia; Flavobacteriales; Flavobacteriaceae. The record is from RNAcentral.